GACGAACGCUGGCGGCGUGCUUAACACAUGCAAGUCGAACGCUGAAGCCCAGCUUGUUGGGUGGAUGCGUGGCGAACGGGUGAGUAACACGCGAGUAACCUGCCCUCUUCUUUGGGAUAACGCCCGGAAAAGGGUGCUAAUACAGGAUAUUCAAUGUUUUUCGCCUGGGGGUUGGUGGAAAGGUUUCUUCUGGUGGGGGAUGGGCUCGGGGCCUAGCAGCUUGUUGGUGGGGUGUUGGCCUACCAAGGCUUUGACGGGUAGCCGGCCUGGGAGGGUGACCGGUCACAGUGGCACUGAACAUCGGGCCAGAGAUCUGUGGGAGGCAGCAGUGGGGAGCAUUGGACGAGAGGCGAAAGCCUUAUGCGGCGGCGCGGUGUGGGGGAUGGGGGCCUUCGAGUUGUGAACCUCUGUCGCACACGGUCAAGGCGCGUCUUGGGGUUGUAGUGAGGGUAAUGGGUAAAGAAGCACCGGCUAACUACGUG
This 482-nucleotide ribosomal RNA is filed under the name uncultured bacterium. Its description in RNAcentral is "partial 16S ribosomal RNA". It matches the Rfam family "Bacterial small subunit ribosomal RNA", at positions 28 to 507 of the family's 1533-position model. The record is from RNAcentral.